CUCCCCCUAGCCUCCCUCCCGGGACUCUGAGCCCCGGAAAGGUAGAAACCGGAUCGUGAAGGGGAUGCCUAGUAGACCAGGCGGUUGAGAGCGUCCUGAGUAGCUCUGUGUCCCAGGUCCCGUGCAGGCCUUUCCCAGCUCAAUCCACUUCACGCCAUGUAGCCCAGUGACGCAUCCGAUGGCUUUGCUUUGAUAAUAAUGUGGCAGAGAGGGGCUAAAAACAGUUUAAAUUAUUCCUUUUAAAAAUCAACCUGCAAACUCCCAACCUGCUAGACAUGGAUGUGAAAAACCCCAAUAGCCACAAGCCACUUUCCUGGAAAUGCAAGGUUGCUCAGCCUUGGAGCAUUAGCCCGCUGAGUCAUGCAGUGCCAGCACUAAUAAAAUGCAACUUCCUACGAUA
Carlito syrichta (Philippine tarsier) is the source of this 400-nucleotide long non-coding RNA. RefSeq lists it as uncharacterized. The transcript has 2 exons. The record is from RefSeq and is a predicted model, not a curated record. Lineage: Eukaryota; Metazoa; Chordata; Mammalia; Primates; Tarsiidae.